Bufo bufo (common toad) is the source of this 1257-nucleotide long non-coding RNA. RefSeq lists it as uncharacterized. The record is from RefSeq and is a predicted model, not a curated record. The transcript is spliced from 3 exons. Lineage: Eukaryota; Metazoa; Chordata; Amphibia; Anura; Bufonidae.
UCACAGGGUGAGAUCUGGGUAAUGAUGGAGCGGAGCGGGUCACAGGGUGAGAUCUGGGUAAUGAUGGGGCGGAGCGGGUCACAGGCUGAGAUCGGGGUAAUGACAGGGCAGCCAGGAGCAGGUCACAGGCUGAGAUCGGGGUAAUGAUGGGGCGAAGCGGCCAGGAGCGGGUCACAGGCUGAGAUCGGGGUAAUGACAGGGCAGAGCAGGUCACAGGGUGAGAUCUGGGUAAUGAUGGGGCGGAGCAGGUCACAGGCUGAGAUCGGGGUAAUGACGGGGCGGAGCGGGUCACAGGGUGAGAUCUGGGUAAUGAUGGGGCGGAGCGGGUCACAGGCUGAGAUCGGGGUAAUGACAGGGCAGCCAGGAGCAGGUCACAGGCUGAGAUCGGGGUAAUGACGGGGCUAAGCGGCCAGGAGCGGGUCACAGGCUGAGAUCGGGGUAAUGACGGGGCGGAUCGGCCAGGAGCGGGUCACAGGGUGAGAUUGGGGUAAUGAUAGGGUGGCGCAGCCAGGAGCUGGUCACAGGUUGAGAUUUGGGUAAUGAUGGGGUGGCAUGGCCAGGAGUAGGUCACAGGGUGAGAUCGGGGUGGGGCAGCCAGGAGCAGGUCACAGGCUGAGAUCAGGGUAAUGAUGGGGUGGCGCAGCCAGGAGCGGGUCACAGGGUGAGAUUGGGGUAAUGAUGGGGUGGCGCAGCCAGGAGCGGGUCACAGGGUGAGAUUGGGGUAAUGAUAGGGUGGCGCAGCCAGGAGCGGGUCACAGGUUGAGAUUUGGGUAAUGAUGGGGUGGCACAGCCAGGAGCAGGUCACAGGGUGAGAUCGGGGUGGUGCAGCCAGGAGCAGGUCACAGGGUGAGAUUUGGGUAAUGAUGGGGUGGCGCAGCCAGGAGCGGGCCACAGGGUGAGAUUGGGGUAAUGAUGGGGUGGCACGGCCAGGAGCGGGUCACAGGGUGAGAUCGGGGUAAUGACGGUCAGGGCGGUGCGGCUGGGAGCUUCAUUUCUGCCUCAGUGACAUCAUCUAAUUCUAUGGCGGCUGCGAUAUUUAAAAGGCUCCUAAGGUCAGACGCCAUCAUUGUUAUUCCGCUCCAGGCACCGCGGUCACGCAGCCUACGGAUAUACAGCGCCAUGUCAUUGUCAUAACCCUUGUGAAAACUACAAUACUCACUCGAGUUACAACUGGGAAAGGAUCCCUUUAAAGGACUACCCUAACUGGUGCAGUACGCGGAGCCGUCAUAUAGAAAGUGAAAGCGGGCGCAGCACUCC